RNAcentral lists this long non-coding RNA (323 nucleotides) under Ananas comosus (pineapple). RNAcentral describes it as "long non-coding RNA (ACOM_LNC002176)". Lineage: Eukaryota; Viridiplantae; Streptophyta; Magnoliopsida; Poales; Bromeliaceae. The record is from RNAcentral.
UUCUUCUUCCCCAAACUUCUUCUUCUCUAUAUCCUCUUCCACAAUCUUUCUCUUCCUACUCCCAAUUCCCCAAUUCUCAACUCUCUACCUCAAUUCCCCACCCCUCUCUACCUCUAUCUCUAUUAUCUUACCUUUUCUAGUGGCAAUUUACCUUAGAACUGCGACUAGGAGCCACCAUCAUCCUUGCAGCCAUCCUCACCUCAGAGAAUUCUUAUCAUCGGCGGGUUGCGACAAGUCAGGGAUAUUACAACCACUAAAAAGGCCACAUAAGUUAGUAUCCCUUCAGUAGUUUUGUAGCAGUAGAAUUUCACCUUCUUAUCAGA